Mercenaria mercenaria is the source of this 3868-nucleotide long non-coding RNA. RefSeq lists it as uncharacterized. The transcript is spliced from 3 exons. The record is from RefSeq and is a predicted model, not a curated record. NCBI's taxonomy places the organism in Eukaryota, Metazoa, Mollusca, Bivalvia, Venerida, Veneridae.
UAGCGCAUAUCACUUCGGCAGAUAUCGGACGAUGUCGGUAUUUUCCGGAAUUUUCAUUCAGGAACUUAGUUUUAUUUUAUUUUUUAUAUUUUUGAAUAUCAUUUAAUAAAACCAUUAAUAAAAAGACAAAUACAUAAAGAACUUUUACCAUUAGUUUCUUAUUAUCAAAAAAUUACGGAGUUCUCGUCUACUCUCUUACAACGAGAUCCAAUGGCGGCGCCCAUGAAAAAACAUUGCGAAUGCCGAUUUAAAAAAAAAAACAAUGAUAAACGUUUCACAUUAGAAUUAACAGUCUAUCGAGUGAUCAUAUGGUACGAUGGGCGCCAAAAAAUUAUCAUCUAUUGUGCUAACAAGACCUGUCGGCUCUGAAUAUGCUGUGAAUAGCCCAAAACAUCCGGGUUGACGUCAUUUCGACAUGUACAAUGAUCAGAUGAUAUAGAAAAAGUAGGCAUCGAAAACAACGAUUGUCCACAAAACGCUUGAUUUAGCAAUGGUCUGUGUUGAUGCUAUUUUCUCUGAAAGCAAACUGUCUGUAAUCUGCAGCCAUUCAGCUACUGUUCCAGAAACUUGAAGGCGUAAAAAUUGAGCUGCCAUUACCACAGUACCUCAGAUAUGUAGGAACCAUGACAUUCGGGCAUUUCUGUUCUGUUGGAAAUAAUACUUGAGCUGGAAACAUGACAUGAAAGAAGACCUUAGGAAAUAUAUGCAAGUGGAGAUUGAGACAUUAAAUUUGAAAAAUGAAAAGACUUAUGAAGCAAAUAGCAAGUUCUGAAUGCUUCAAACUAACUGUUAGUAGACUUUGGAUGAUUUACUGCAAAGGUAGUGCAAAAAAGACUCAGAUACAAAUGUAUCAUAACAAUGCUUACAUGCCAAACUUCCAGGGCAUCUAUACAGGAGAAUUCAGUUGAAAGUCCAGGAGAUUUCAGAAUUUACAUUGUACCUAGUUUAAUAGUAUAAUUAAAAAGAUAGUUCUGAAUUCUUUUUGGUAAAUCUGAUUCAUUUUUAAAUCUACAAGGUAUUGUCAUCAUUUUUUGAUCUUUGUCAGCUUUGGUCUUGGUUAACAUUUUUGCUUAUGUUCCUCUUUUCUUCGAAACUAUAAGAAAUAUAGCUUUGAAACUUAGUUCACCUGUUUAUCAUCAUUAGAUAGCCAAGAGUCAUAAUUCCCACUUCUGUCACUUUUUGGCAAAAUUAUGACCCCUUGUGUACCUAGAAAAUUGGAAUUUCUUGGUUAAAUAUUUGGUUAAAUUAAAUGUUUCAUACUUUAAGAGCUAUAGCUUGAAACUUUAAAUGCUUGUUUAUCAUCAUUAGUUGACUAAAUAGGUCAUGAACCAUAACUAUUGCUUGUAUUCUGUCAGAAUAUGGGCUUUUUAAAUUUGUAUUUCUUGGUCAAUUUUUUGUUUAGCUCGACUAUUUGAAGAAUAGGUAGAGCUAUCCUACUCAUCACGGCGUCAGCGUCACACCUUGGUUGAUUUUUUCGUACCAUUUCACAUAUUGACAAAACUUUUUGAGGUAAUGCUUUAAAACUUUCAACACUUGUGUACCAUCACCGUGUCAAGUUUUAGGCAAGAAUACUUAACUCCAUCAAGGAUUUUGGCUGAAUUAUGGUCCCUUUUAACUUACAAAUCUUGAUUAAGUUUUCAUACCAGUUCAUAUAUUGUGCAGACUGUUUGAUAUGUGGCUUUGGAACGUUGAUACCACUUGUUUAUUUUAUCUGUAGGCCUGGCAAGAGUACAUAACUCUGUCAAGUAUUUUGGCUGAUUUAUUGUCUUUUUGGACUUGAAAAUUGGUUCAGUUUUUGUACAAGUCCAUGUUUUGUCAAAACUUAUGACAUGUGGCUUUGAAACUUUGAACACUUGCUUAUCAUAAUUUCCAUCUGUAGGCAAGAGAACAUAACUCUGUCAACUAUUUUGGCUGAAUUAUGGCCUUUUUUGGACUUGGAAAUGGUGAAGUUUUCGUACAAGUCAACAUUGUGUCAAAAUUGUUUGACAUGUGGCUAUGAAACUUUGAGCACUUGCUUAUCAUCAUGAUCUCCAUUUGCAGACAAGAGUACAUAACUCUGUCAACUAUUCUGCCAGAAUUAUGACCCUUUUUGGACUUGAAAAUCAGUUAAAUUUUUCAUACCAGUCUAUAUUUUGCCUAACCUGUUUGUCAAAUGGCUUUGAAACUUUUACCACUAGUUUACCAUCAUAAUAUAUGUAUGUAGGCAAGACUACAUACGGUAACUAGGACAAGGACUUUAGCUCAGUUAUGGCCCUUUUGUGAGAAAGAAAUUUGUUAAGUUUCGCAUGCGAUUCCAUAUUUUGUCUAAACUGUUUGAUAUAUGGCUUUGAAACAUUGAACAGUCUUGCUUACCAUCAUGAUCACAUAUUACCAUAUAUUGCAAGACUUAUCCAAAUCCACAAAAACAGGUACAUUGUUUGUCUAAUUUAUUUUUCAUCUUUUGUCUGCAAAUCUCUGGUAAUAUUUUGACCCCAUACUUCCAUCAAUUCUUCGAAUAGUCAAGUGCGCUGUCAACAGACAGCUCUUGUUUGUGAAUACUAUAAGAUCUAUUUGCUUUAAAACUUUGUACAUUUCUUUACUAUCAGUAAGUGAGUAAGAAGGUCAAGAACCAUUUAUAACACUUUCUAUUGCAUAUUGUUAAACGUCAAUCAAUUACAGGCAAGGGUAGACACCCGCAGGCGUUUCUGUGGUUCAUACCAAUUUUGACAUAUUUUAAUGAAUGUCUGGGGUAAUUUUGACUAAAAGAGGUUGCUUAAGUAUUAUGAUAGCAUGGUUUUUGAUAACUUUAGAUUCUGACAUUUGAAAGCAGUAUGGGUAAAAAAAGAACAUGUCAGUAAUGUAAAUGCUAUAAUCUUUUUACUGAGGUCUGAAAAACAAAAAGGAGAAAUAUACUUACUAAGUUUUGGGCCAAUUUUCUCCAGUUUGGAUUGAUAAGUUUUCAUUGAAAACAGCUGUAAUAGAACUAAGGUCAUUUCAUUUGUAACAUUUAUUGUAAACUACACUACUUUCAAGUCAUAAUUUGUAAUGAAUCACAAAAAUUUGAAGUAACAAAUUUAUAUUCAAUUCCUUUUGAUUUUGCAUUAUUUUUGCUGGUGGGUGGGGUAAGUCUAUUUAUAUAGUGUUUUUUUUUCUCUAAAAUACAGAAUUGUAUGUUGUUUUUCUAAUGGCUUUUACUUGCAAAUAUUUUAUACUAUCAUAUUUAUAAUCUUGAAACAUGUAACUGAUGGAACAUACUGUUUUCAACUUAACAAUAUGUUAUGUUGUUUUAUGUACCUGCAAAUAUUUAGUUAUUCGUAAAGCGAAGUUGACAGCUAAAGUUAUUGCAUUUUAUAUUUAAAAAAGGUAUAUUAAUACUAUGUAUUGCAUCAAACAUCUGAUAAGAUGUUGUUUUGUCUGUUGAAGUAAGCAGUUGUAUUACUUAAAUGUUUAAAUAGAAAAACAGCCAAAAAUAUGCAACAUAUUAGAUUAAUUUUGGUGCUAACUUCAGCUUUAUUAGACAUUUUUGAUAUUGGUUACCUUGAUAUAGUCUGUCUCGUAAAAUUUUAAAAUGCAUGGUGACCUAUACUUUUUAAUAUUUAUUUCAUCUAUAUAUACAGCUAUCUUAAUUUUUGAAAAGUUUCAGGAAAGUAAAGAAUGUAGAAAGGUCUGUAACUCUUCUUCAAAUAAUCUGGAUUCAUAAUGGUUUCAGUGAUUUAUGUAUAGAUUUUACGAGACAAGAUUUAGAUUUUUGUCAUUUAUCUGCAGAUAACUUCGAUUAAAAUUCAAAUGUUUGUAUUAUUUUUCAAUAAUAUAGUGUUUUGUAGGUCAUAUAACUAUUUGGAAUGGAAAUCACUUGAAAUAUUAGCAAAAUAAAAUUUUGAAAUAUAAA